CUGUUUCCUCACCAUGUGUGCUCCCCAAAUCUGUUUUGGAUUUCCCCUCAAACCUCCACAGCAGAUUUGGGGAGGAUACAGGGGGAAAGGAGAAA
Molecule: non-coding RNA, 95 nt
Organism: Podarcis lilfordi (Lilford's wall lizard)
Lineage: Eukaryota; Metazoa; Chordata; Lepidosauria; Squamata; Lacertidae
Source: the annotation of a GenBank genome assembly